RNAcentral lists this transfer RNA (77 nucleotides) under Caudoviricetes sp. RNAcentral describes it as "tRNA-Arg". It matches the Rfam family "tRNA". From Rfam's summary of the family: Transfer RNA (tRNA) molecules are approximately 80 nucleotides in length. Their secondary structure includes four short double-helical elements and three loops (D, anti-codon, and T loops). The record is from RNAcentral. Lineage: Duplodnaviria; Heunggongvirae; Uroviricota; Caudoviricetes.
GGGAAUGUAGCUCAAUUGGAUUAGAGCAUACCGCUACGAACGGUAAGGUUGAGAGUUCGAAUCUCUUCAUUCCCUCA